AGUGAACGCUGGCGGUAGGCCUAACACAUGCAAGUCGAACGGCAGCACAGUAAGAGCUUGCUCUUACGGGUGGCGAGUGGCGGACGGGUGAGGAAUACAUCGGAAUCUACUUUUUCGUGGGGGAUAACGUAGGGAAACUUACGCUAAUACCGCAUACGACCUACGGGUGAAAGCAGGGGAUCUUCGGACCUUGCGCGAUCGAAUGAGCCGAUGUCGGAUUAGCUAGUUGGCGGGGUAAAGGCCCACCAAGGCGACGAUCCGUAGCUGGUCUGAGAGGAUGAUCCGCCCCACUGGAACUGAGACACGGUCCAGACUCCUACGGGAGGCAGCAGUGGGGAAUAUUGGACAAUGGGCGCAAGCCUGAUCCAGCCAUACCGCGUGGGUGAAGCAGGCCUUCGGGUUGUAAAGCCCUUUUGUUGGGAAAGAACAGCAGCAGGUUAAUCCCCCGCUGUUCUGACGGUACCCAAAGAAUAAGCACCGGCUAACUUCGUG
Molecule: ribosomal RNA, 492 nt
Filed under: uncultured bacterium
Lineage: Bacteria
Description: partial 16S ribosomal RNA
Rfam family: Bacterial small subunit ribosomal RNA
Source: RNAcentral